CCUACGGGCGGCAGCAGUGAGGAAUAUUGGUCAAUGGGCGCGAGCCUGAACCAGCCAAGUCGCGUGAGGGAAGACGGCCCUACGGGUUGUAAACCUCUUUUGCCGGGGAGCAACGGGCGCCACGUGUGGCGCCACUGAGAUUACCCGCAGACAAAGCAUCGGCUAACUCCGUGCCAGCAGCCGCGGUAAUACGGAGGCUGCGAGCGUUAUCCGGAUUGAUUGGGUUUAAAGGGUGCGUAGGCGGAGCGUUAAGUCAGUGGUAAAAUUGAGGGUCUCAACCCCUUCCCGCCAGUGAACCUGGCGCUCUUGAGUGGAAGAGAAGUAUGCGGAAUGCGUGGUGUAGCGGUGAAAUGCAUAGAUAUCACGCAGAACCCCGAUUGCGAAGGCAGCAUGCCGGCUUCCGACUGACGCUGAAGCACGAAAGCGUGGGGAUCGAACAGGAUUAGAUACCCCGGUAGUC
Molecule: ribosomal RNA, 460 nt
Filed under: uncultured bacterium
Lineage: Bacteria
Description: partial 16S ribosomal RNA
Rfam family: Bacterial small subunit ribosomal RNA
Source: RNAcentral